ACGUAGGGUGCAAGCGUUAAUCGGAAUUACUGGGCGUAAAGCGUGCGCAGGCGGUUUUGUAAGACAGAGGUGAAAGCCCCGGGCUCAACCUGGGAAUGGCAUUGGAUACUGGCGGGCUGGAGUGUGGCAGAGGGGGGUGGAAUUCCGCGUGUAGCAGUGAAAUGCGUAGAGAUGCGGAGGAACACCGAUGGCGAAGGCAGCCCCCUGGGCUGACACUGACGCUCAGGCACGAAAGCGUGGGGAGCAAACAG
RNAcentral lists this ribosomal RNA (251 nucleotides) under uncultured prokaryote. RNAcentral describes it as "partial 16S ribosomal RNA". It matches the Rfam family "Bacterial small subunit ribosomal RNA", at positions 525 to 775 of the family's 1533-position model. The record is from RNAcentral.